This 303-nucleotide ribosomal RNA is filed under the name uncultured bacterium. Its description in RNAcentral is "partial 16S ribosomal RNA". It matches the Rfam family "Bacterial small subunit ribosomal RNA", at positions 507 to 807 of the family's 1533-position model. The record is from RNAcentral.
AGCAGUCGCCGCGGGAAUGCGUAGGUGGCAAGCGUUGUCCGGAAUUAUUGGGCGUAAAGGGCUCGCAGGCGGUUUCUUAAGUCUGAUGUGAAAGCCCCCGGCUCAACCGGGGAGGGUCAUUGGAAACUGGGAAACUUGAGUGCAGAAGAGGAGAGUGGAAUUCCACGUGUAGCGGUGAAAUGCGUAGAGAUGUGGAGGAACACCAGUGGCGAAGGCGACUCUCUGGUCUGUAACUGACGCUGUGGAGCGAAAGCGUGGGGAGCGAACAGGAUUAGAUACCCCCGUAGUCCCUGUCUCUUAUAC